AAUGACAAGGUGAUGACUUUUAAUAUGUGCACAUUUUUACUUGCAUGCUACACUGAAAAUCAUCUAGCAAUGAAAGGGUUUGAUGUGCAAAGUGCAGCUGAUUUUUACUGUAUGCUUGCAGGCUGUCUGUAGAGUAAAACACUGAAUUCUUCCAUUCUUAUGGGAGAGUCAUAUUUAUAUAUAUUCAUAUAUAAACACAUACUACUUCCACAUCAUGAAAGAGAGGAAUUCUGGAUAGCUGAAAUUAUAGAGAUCCAAGGUGAUCUAAUAAUAUACUGUUCAUUUGUAUUUUGGUUUCAAACAGCUGUAACUAAGUGAUGCAUGUACAUCAGCUGCUCUUUCCAAAUAUUAAGGAAUGAGUGAGUUAGGGUUUUUUUUUUUUUUUCUGGCCAGUGCUUCAGAGAUGUUAAAUCAAAUACAUCUGAAAUAUUAAGAAUUCUGCUUUUGCCUGGCUGGGACAAAUUACUGUCAACACAUCUAACUGCAAUUUUGGACAACAGCUACAUCAUGGAUUUUUUUUUCUUUUUUUUUCAGUGUGUUAAGAACUGUGACAGCAGCAUACAUGGACUGAAAACUAACAUGAGUUCUUUGAUGAAAAAAAAAAAGGUUUUGAACAAUUCUUAAAGGGGUCAUAUUAUACACAUUUCUUCCAAACUAAUAUAUUUCACAAGAUGUCUUAAAACAGAUGUUAAUGUUUGUAGCCAAAAAUAUCGCACAGACAAAAAAAUGAAUAAA
This is a long non-coding RNA of Thalassophryne amazonica, 735 nucleotides long. RefSeq lists it as uncharacterized. The record is from RefSeq and is a predicted model, not a curated record. Lineage: Eukaryota; Metazoa; Chordata; Actinopteri; Batrachoidiformes; Batrachoididae. The transcript has 3 exons.